Molecule: long non-coding RNA, 531 nt
Filed under: Pandoravirus neocaledonia
Description: hypothetical ncRNA
Source: RNAcentral
GCGCACGCUGGGUUCGCGGGGCCUCGUCCGCAAGGCCGCACAGCCACGUCGCCAGAUCGUCGUGUUUGCGCCUACGUGCCGCCUGAUCGGGUCGCGUGCCCGCGUGGCACACUACAGCCGCCGAGGCUCCGGCGGCCAAGAGCAUGCGGCACGCCUUGUCAUGACCCCAAAAGGCAGCCUGAUGCAAAAAGGUCCACCCCGACGCAGGCCGCACAUAGGCAGCUGCCUUUGCCGCAAGUGCGCUGUCGGCCUCGAUACGUUGCAACACAAGAUCCCACCUACCGCGCUUGGCUUCUUCGUAAAGGCGACCGACGAGCGAGUCCAUGGACGAGCGCGUGCGCGUGGGUCGAGGUUAUUCCCUGACCCCGUGAACUCGGCCUUUUGUUUGAUCACGGCUCCUUUGUUGUUGGUAUUCCGGCUACGCCCCCGGAUGAAGAAGCGCCGCUCUUUCUCUUUGCCUCACGCGACUCUUUCCUUUUCUCUUAAUGUGUCGCCUGCUUUUUUUGCCCUCGCUCGGCCCGACAACAAGCG